RNAcentral lists this ribosomal RNA (747 nucleotides) under uncultured Actinomyces sp. Its description in RNAcentral is "bacterial SSU rRNA". It matches the Rfam family "Bacterial small subunit ribosomal RNA", at positions 28 to 776 of the family's 1533-position model. The record is from RNAcentral. Lineage: Bacteria; Bacillati; Actinomycetota; Actinomycetes; Actinomycetales; Actinomycetaceae.
GACGAACGCUGGGGCGUGUUUAACACAGCAAGUCGAACGCUGAAGACUGGCUUUUGUGGGUGGGAUGAGUGGCGAACGGGUGAGUAACACUGAGUAACCUCCCCCCUUCUUGGGAUAACGCCCGGAAACGGGUGCUAAUACGGAUAUUCACUGGCCUUUGCAUGGGGGUUGGUGGAAAGGUUUUUUCUGGUGGGGGAUGGGCUCGCGGCCUAUCAGCUUGUUGGUGGGGUGAUGGCCUACCAAGGCUUUGACGGGUAGCUGGCCUGAGAGGGUGACCGGUCACAUUGGGACUGAGAUACGGCCCAGACUCCUACGGGAGGCAGCAGUGGGGAAUAUUGCACAAUGGGCGAAAGCCUGAUGCAGCGACGCCGCGUGAGGGAUGGAGGCCUUCGGGUUGUAAACCUCUUUCGCUCAUGGUCAAGCCGCAACUUGGGUUGUGGUGAGGGUAGUGGGUAAAGAAGCGCCGGCUAACUACGUGCCAGCAGCCGCGGUAAUACGUAGGGCGCGAGCGUUGUCCGGAAUUAUUGGGCGUAAAGGGCUUGUAGGCGGUUGGUCGCGUCUGCCGUGAAAUCCUCUGGCUUAACUGGGGGCGUGCGGUGGGUACGGGCUGACUUGAGUGCGGUAGGGGAGACUGGAACUCCUGGUGUAGCGGUGGAAUGCGCAGAUAUCAGGAAGAACACCGGUGGCGAAGGCGGGUCUCUGGGCCGUUACUGACGCUGAGGAGCGAAAGCGUGGGGAGCGAACAGG